RNAcentral lists this unclassified non-coding RNA (295 nucleotides) under Hevea brasiliensis (rubber tree). Lineage: Eukaryota; Viridiplantae; Streptophyta; Magnoliopsida; Malpighiales; Euphorbiaceae. The record is from RNAcentral.
GGACAAUGUUCAGCUUCUAACAACUGUUGAUGCUGAUGGAGGGCUCCCAGCAAGUCCUCGCAUCCGCUUUAACAAGGAUGGCACCCUUUUAGCUGUUUCUGGCAAUGAGAAUGGAAUUAAAAUCUUGGCCAACGUGGAUGGAAUCCGACUACUAAGAACAUUUGAAAAUCUUUCAUAUGAUGCAGCUAGAACGUCAGAGGCUGGGACAAAGCCCACAAUAAAUCCAAUUUCAGCUGCUGCGGCCGUGGCAGCAGCAGCGGCAGCUAGUAGUGCUGCCGAUAGAGGUGCCUCUGUC